UGGGCAGGCAGAGAUGGCUGCUCCGACACUGAGCGGAGAGGAAAGUCCGGGCUCCAGAGGGCAGCGUGCUGGAUAAUUUCCAGGCUCAAAGGAAUAAAUUCCUUUGAGACGGAAAGUGCCACAGAAAAGAUACCGCCCCGACGCUUUCGUUGGGGUAAGGGUGAAAAGGUGGUGUAAGGGACCACCGCUCUUGUGGUGACACAAGAGGCAGGGCAAACCCCAUGCGGAGCAAGACCAAAUAGGAGAGGAGCGAUGUGCCCAUCGCGCUUUACUCUCGGGUAGGUCGCUUGAUUCCGAUGGUAACAUCGGAACCAGAGGAAUAGCCAUCAAUCACAGAUAAUCUGUGAUUCACAGAACCCGGCUUAUCUGCCUGCUUGAAUU
This 381-nucleotide RNase P RNA is filed under the name Candidatus Omnitrophota bacterium. Its description in RNAcentral is "RNase P RNA component class A". It matches the Rfam family "Bacterial RNase P class A". Rfam says of the family: Ribonuclease P (RNase P) is a ubiquitous endoribonuclease, found in archaea, bacteria and eukarya as well as chloroplasts and mitochondria. Its best characterised activity is the generation of mature 5'-ends of tRNAs by cleaving the 5'-leader elements of precursor-tRNAs. The record is from RNAcentral. Lineage: Bacteria; Pseudomonadati; Candidatus Omnitrophota.